Molecule: long non-coding RNA, 20001 nt
Filed under: Solanum tuberosum (potato)
Lineage: Eukaryota; Viridiplantae; Streptophyta; Magnoliopsida; Solanales; Solanaceae
Description: long non-coding RNA (STUB_LNC009362)
Source: RNAcentral
GCGUUGGAUUCAGAAACCAAAACAUUGAGAUAAUUAUGGUACGAUUUAAAAAAAGCGGAUCCAAGAGCUAGUGCACCACCAUGGUAAUACACUAUAAUGGGAAGUUUUUGGGUAGAAUUGGUUGUGUUUUUUGGAAGGUAAAGUCUAGCAGAAACAUGUGGUGAAAUUAUAACAUCUUUAGAGGAGACAUUAUUUUGUGGAUCAUCAAGUGAUGGAGGCACGUAAGUUGAUAAGUUACUUUUUUUAUAUAUAUAGCGUUCGACUCGACCAUCCUUAUAGAUUCUAUAGAAACCAUCCAUUUCAGCGACAACCUCAUUGUUGUUAUCAUUGGAAUUGGCCAUGGAAUGUAUAAUUAGAUGAUGGGGUAUUUAUUGUAAGAAAGUUGAUUUGGGUAUAGAAAUUUGGAAGACAAGUUUGAUUUAUGUAAUGGGAUUUACAUAGCAGCAUCAAGAGUAUUAAGAGGAUGUGUGCAAAUGAAAAAGCACUACUUUGAAUAUUAAGAGGAUGUGUGCAUAUGAAAAAGCAUGGCUUUUCAAAAGAAGUUUAAAUUAUACUCUAUCCAUUCCUUUUUAAUUGUCAAAAAUUAAUUUAACUAAUUUUUAAAAGUUAAAUUAGAUUACAUUAAUUUGAUGUUUUAAAUAAAAAAAAAUUAGAUAUUAAAAAAUUAUACGAAAACUACUAUAAAUUGUAAUUUUUUACAUAUUAAUAUGAUGAAAAAACACAUCAUAAAAUAUUAGUUAAAGUUCUUAUCGUUUGAAUUUAAAAAAAGAAACCAUAACAAUUAAAAGUUGACGGAGGGAGUAUACAUAAUUAAAGUAAGGAAUUUUUCCAAUAUCAAAGUAAAAUCGGUAAAAAAAGAUUCACAUUUUUUUGUUUCUCAACUAAAUAAAUUAGAUAAAUUCUUCUUUUCAUUUUUCUUUAAGAAAAUUGAAACUAUUAAUAGAGAUACUUUUAAUUUUUGUAAAAUAAAAAGGAUAGUACUGUAUAUACCGCUCAUCUGGCUGCCUGGUCAUCACGUGCAUGAGGUAGUAUAUGGUCAAAAUAUUGAUUAGUCAUUAAUAGUCAAAUGAGGGAACUACAUAGAGACCAAAAUAUAUUUUACUUGUUGGCUUACAAAUUAAAGUUGGUGGCAAAAGGAAUGCACGUCUUCCAUGUAUGAUAAUCAAAGCCAUCAUGUAGAGGCUGAGCCAGAAUUUGAUGUUUGUAGAUUCUAAAUUUUAAAACAAAAUAACAUAUUAGUCUAAUAUAACAAUCGUUAAAAUUACAACCAAAUAUAUAUAUAUAUAUAUAUAUAUAUAUAUAUUAUAUAAGCAUAUCAUUAAAAUUUCACUCGAUAAGUUGUUAUGUUUUGAAAACAAAAAUGAUGCAUCAUUUGGUACACUUUCAAAUACUUCAUUUAUUAAUAUGAAGAUUUGAGUUAUUUAUUUCAAAGUUCUAAAAUAUUAUUUGGUAAAAGGUAGAUAAUUGUUAUAUUUUAGUAUAAAUUUUGAAGAUUUUUUUCUAUAAUCUCAAUAUCAUUUUAAGUAAAAUUAAAAUUAUUAAAUUCACUAUUAAUAUUUUUGGGACCUAAAUGGAAUGUUUUACGUGCUUCACCCUUGAGUCACCCUUGAGUCACCCUUGCCUUGAAAGUUAAAGUUCCGAGAAGCAAACAAUAACUUAAUUAAUAUAAUCAAUUAUUAAUACGUGGAACAGUCUUAAAAUCAAAGAUUAAAAAUAAGAUCUUUGAAUAAAUUGUUAUACAAGGUCAAAACAAAUUAAAAAAGAGAAAAGGGAGAGCCGAGGAGGAAUUGAGAAGAGUAAAUAGUACUUAUCGGGGCAGAGGUCUGCACUUUGACAACAAGCAGUAGCAAUGAAGUAGAUUGUAAAAAUUAGAACCCUAACUUUAAAAAUAAAUAAAUUUUGGGUUUAACAUUUUAUUGAAUGCUUCAAAAGUAAUCAAUAUAGUGAGAUGUUAUUUUAGUGUAUGACACUAUAUUUUGGUUACUUACAAUUUUCUUUGAGAUUAAUAGUUAGAUGUUGUUUUGGAGUAUGACACUACUUUUUAAAUUAUUUUCAAUUAUCAAUUUUCUGUUUUAUUAUUUGAAAAAGAAUUUAUAAAAAUCUAUAUAGGAAAAAUUGAAUUAAAGGAGAGUAAAAGAUAGGUACAAAAUAAUUUUUUAAUCCAAAAUAAGAAAAUUCGCAAAAAUUGAAUUAAAUAAAAAAUUUAAUAGUUGCUAGUGGGGAUCGAACACCCAUCCAAAUAAUCAGUGUUGCGUGCGCUUACCACUGCGCCAUCCACCUUAGUGUGAUGUGGGUUCGCACGCAAAAUUUAAAUAUAUUUGUACAUGGUUUUUAGUACGUAUAUAGGAUCUACGUGAAAGGCGGUGGGUUCGUCCGAACCCCUAUUUAACACUAUAGCUACUCCCCUGUCAUCAUGUAGUCGAACCAGAGGUCGACCCACGUGUAAGAUGGGAUACACAUGCAUCCGUUAACUUUGGAAAAAUUAUGCUUAUAUAUAUAUAUUGAAAAACUGAAAGAAACUAAAAUAUAAAUAAGAGUGCCCUCAUUAGGGAUGGCAAGGGUACUGGGUCGCCCCGCCCUGUCCUGCGACCGACUCGAGACCCGUCUCGCCGGACCCGAUCCCAUAAGUUCUCGCGAGUUGUGGGGAUUUCGGGAUAGGGGACCAGUUAAGGGAUGGUUCACCCUUUGGUCCCAGUUCCGGCCCGGCUGAGCCGGUCGGUUUCGCGAGAUCCCCUUUUUUUAAAAAAAAUUUCGAAUUAUAUCAUUUGGGGCAACGGCUAGUGGGCCCCCCCAACGAAUUUAUUCAGCCUUUUCACUUCCCCAACACCCCCUCCUUUUAAAACAUUAAUUUAAACCCUAAAGUUAUAAUAAAUACACUUUAACCCAUUUUUAAUAUUAUAAAUACCCCCUAUCCUUCAUUAUUUCUUACAAAAUCAUCUAUUCUCUCAGCUAUUUUCUAUAUCCUCUCAUUCUUAAGUCUUGAUUGUUGAUUCCAUUUAAUUCUCAUAAUAUAUCAUAAUAUAUAUAUAUAUAUAUAUAUAUUUCAAUUCUAAAUUUCCAUAUAUAUAUAUAUAUACUAAUUCUCAUAUUUGCUAUCAAGUAUUGGAGUUUCAAAUUACAAGUUACAACAAACUACAAGCUUCAAGAAUCGGUUAUAACGUCUGCUAUUAACGCAGACAUUUGGUAUAUUCGUUUCAUAAUAUUUAUAUUUUAUUUUUCGCAAUUAAUUUGUGUUAUUAUUAUUUUUAUAUUUCACUUCACAUUUAAUUAAAUAUGAGUUCUAGCAAAAAAGAUACCGAUAAAGAAAAGAGAAAGUAGCAAACAUCAUUAGUAAUUUAUUUAGUAGUAAGAAAAAAAAAAUGUAGUGGUACUUCUUCUAAAUCAAUGUCUACAGUUAUAUUUAAUACAAAUGAUUCUACUUAUGUUGAUGAUACUUCUUAUGAUAUAGAUUCAAAUGUUCAACUCGAUCAUGAAAUUUUAGAACGACGUUAUGGUAAUAUGAAUCCUAAUCUUGAUGAAAAUUCAGGUGAAGAAGUAGAAGUUGAUUCGGGAGAAGAUGAAUUAGAAGAAACACUUACUAGUCCGGUGACGAAAGUUCCAACUGAAACUACAAAUUCAACGGAGCAACAUUGUCAAUAUCUUCGUUGUUUGUUUAGCUUAUUAGAUUGUAGAGUGUUUAUAACUUUAGACAUGGAUCGUAGUGUUAAUGGACAUGAUUAUUUAACUAUUACAGCACAUUUGAUUGAUCAUAACUAGAAUUUGCAAAAAAAGAAUCUUAAGUUAUAAAGAAUGUGUAGAGAAAAAAACAGGUGCAUAUUUAGCUUCAAAUAUUUUGAGUGUUUUAGAUUAUUACAUGUUCUUAGAUAAAGUAAUGUAUGUUGCAUUAGAUAAUGCAUCUAAUAAUACAAACGUUGCUGGUAUGUUAAAAACUAAAUUAUGUCCAAUUGAUAUUAAUGCUUUUCAUGUUACAUGGGUUGCACAUGUAUUAAAUUUAGUUGUACAAGAUGGUAUUUCAUUAUUUGAUUGUGGUUGUAUGAAAAUUGAAUAUGUUGUUGCAUGGAUUUUUUAUCCUUAUGAGCUGCUAGAAUUAGGAAAUUUAACGAGCGUUGUGUACUAUAUGAUAUGCCACCAAGAAAAGUUCCAAGACAUAUUAAAACAAGGUGGAAUUGUUUUUACGAAAUGCUUUCAGUUGCUUACGAAUAUAAAGGACCCAUACAAAUGGUGUUUAAUGCUCAUAAUGCUGACCCAUUAGAUAGAAUUUGUGAAAAAGAUUGGGAAGAAACUAAUGAACUAUUGAAAUUUUUAAGACUUUUUUAUUAUGCUACAACAUGUUUCUGAAAUUUAUUAUUCUACUAUUUCAUCAGUAUUAAUAAGUAUUUGUGCUAUUACAAUUCAAUUUUUUAAAUACAAUAAAAUUGAAAAUUUUAGAUUUGCAAUUGAUGGUAUGAUUGAAAAAAUUUAAAAAUAUUUUUUUUCUAUUCCUCAAAUUUAUUUAAUUGCUACUUUACUUAGCCCUCAAUAUAAAUUUCGAAGUGUGCAGGGAUUUGUUGAUACUUUUUAUGAUACUUGAAAAAUUUUACCGGAAGAAAUUCUAACUUGUGAAAAGUGUAAGUCUAGCAUAAAAGUAGAAGCAAAAAUUUUGUAUGAAAAAUAUAGAAAUAUAGGAAAUACUGAAGGAGAAGUUGAUCAAACUUCUAAUCCUAAGACUAAAGAUCGAAUUGAUAGUUUUAUGCGAGAUUUUCUUGGUCUUAAUUCUACUAACCGUGAUGAUUUUAAAGAAUAUCUUAAUCAGUCUUUAGAAACAGUGGACGACGACGAUGGCAAUGUAGAAAUAUUAGCAUGGUUGAGGAGAUGGAACGAUGCAUUUCCAAUUCUGAGCAAAAUGAUUCGUGAUGUUCAAGCUAUUCAAGCUUCAUCAGUUGCAUCGGAGGCUUAUUUUACUGUGGCAAGGUUUCAACUUAGUGAUCAUAGACAUUCAUUGACGUAAGAAAGUUUGGAAACAUCAGUUUUAUUUAGAUACUGGGUCAACGCCAAGAGGAGGAUUAUAAUUUGUCAAAGUUAACUUCCAAACAAGAAGCUUGGAUUAAUGCGGUAAUUAGAUCUAGUGACGAUGAAUUAGAGUCACAAGAGUUUCUAGCAAGUUUGCCAACACCGGAGGAUGUUACCGUCGAUUUGAUACGACAUUUAGAAUUGAAUUUUCGUAGAGAAUACAAAUAUUAGAUUACAUCUGACAGCUAAUUGAAACAGAACCCUUCCUAGAAGGUGGCUGUGUAAAUUAGUUACUCCUCUAAUAUGUGUAACAAAUAUUAGUUUUACAUAUGAGAACUUCUUGAAACAGAAGCCUUCCUAAAAGGUGGCUGCGUAGAUUAGUUACUCCACUAAUAAUUGUAAAUUAGAUUUUAAUUGAAUAAAUUUAAGUAUAAUUUUUAAGAAUCACAUAGUGUAAGAGUGAAAUUACCUCUUAUCCCUACUUUUUUUCUAAUGACAUAAAUUCCAUGUUUUUAAGGUCAUCUAGAUAAUAACCAAUUAGGCUGAUACAUUAUUGUUGAUAUAUCAACUACCGUUUGUUAAGCGUAAUAAGGGGAGAAAUUUGAAAAUCAAAUUCAGAUCCCAUGAUCGAGGUUUUUCAGUUUCAUAUUAUUAUCAAUUAUUCUCUGACAGAGCAUACCAGAUCCAAAACAAUUGAAAAUUGAUAAUUCAAAUCUCUUUUCCCUGUUCUUCAUUUAGCUAAUUUUAAUAGCGAAAAUGGAUUAAUAUCUAAAUUAGUUUUCUUUUUUUCUUCAAGAAAGACGACGAGGACGAUUUUAGGCCAGAUGGGAAGACAAUAUUUGCAGUUCAAGGGUUGAGUGCAACUAUGGCUAAUGAAGUGUCUGCAUUAGUGACAAUGUCACUCGACACUGUGAAAACAAGAUUACAAGUAUUAUAUGAUGAUUGUUGUAGUAGUAGCUCAUUCAGUAGCCGAUAAUUUCAUAAAAUACAUAAUGAAUAUUUUGAUUUUGCUGAGGCAUUAAAAAAUCUGGGAAUAAUGAGGUUAGUUAUGAAUGAUACAAAAGUGAAGAAAUCGUCGUUGGUAAAAAUAUUUCAUUCAUAAACUUAAUUUCAGUCAUUGCGACAGAAUUGAAUAUUUAUGCAUUAAGAAAAAAAUAGAGAUCCGAUACAUGGUAUAAGGUAAUUCUUCUCCAUUGAUUAUUAGGAAUGAUAUGGGAGUAAGGUUGUACGUCGAGGUAAAGAAACAUGAGGUUGGAUACCUCACUUGGAAAUCAGAUACAUUACGUUGUUUCUACAUCUAGAGAAAUUAUGUGUGUCGAAGGUUCAAAAAAAGUACUAAAACUCUUGAUAUGGAUAUGUAAGUCAUGAUACAUUAAUAGUAAACGAAGAAUGUGUAUAGUAAUUUCGUGAGUUAUGAUGUGAUCAUUAUUUUGUAUCUAAUUGUAUAUGAUACAUGUAACAAAGGGAUUAACAAUUGAGUUGUAUCAGAUACAUUUAUAUAACGAACGUAUGUAUAUGACUGAUUUGUAUAAAAUGUAUCAUGUUAAUAUUGUGUAUAUGGUAGACAAUAUUAAUAAUGUAUUAAUUAAGAUGUAUAAAGUACUUGUAGUAAUCAAGAAAAAAUGUGGAUGAUACAUUAAUAUUUUUCAUCUUUAUGUGCCAAUGGUGUAUCUGAUAAAUAAUUUGUGAUAUGUUGUGUUUAAAAAAAUCAAAUUUGAAUGUAUCACAUUCUAAUAAAGAGUUUAUGUGUAUAUGAUACAUAAGUGUUUACUAUAUACACAUUGUUGUGACUCAUAUCUAUUAUAUCAUAUACAUUAUGUCAUAACUAAUGAGUUCUUUAUAAUGACAUUUGAAUCACAAGAGUUAUGAAUCUGAUAUUUAUCUUUAUGACAUCUAAUUAUAUAAUGUGAAUAUUUUAAGUAUCAGAUGAUGUGUUGUGUAUCAAGACCACUGUUUUAUUUAAAAAUGAUAAUUAGACUGGUUUAAGAGUCGCCACCUAAUUUUAAAAUAAAAUUAAGAAAACUGUUGUUUUCAAAAGACUAAAACAAAAAGUCUAAUGAAAACUUAAAAGGGGUUCGGGGUUCUUAUUAGCAUUUCGGGAAGGGUUUGAAAGCACCUGAAAUGCCUUCUAAUACACAGUUAUCCAAUAAUUAAUUAUUUGGCUAAAAUAAUUUAACUUAACUUAACUUGAAAAAUUGAACUAUUUUAUAGUUAGAACUAUUUUAAAGGGGAAAUGUUUAAAUAUUAUCUAAGUGAGCUAUUUUGCAAAAUUAUUUCUUUAAAUCUUGUUAAGAGAUGACUUGUUUAGUUAAUUUUUUUAAAGCAAAAUGGACGUCUUUCAGAGAUUUGAAUUGUUGAUCUUAAGAUUAAUGACUAAUAUUAACAAGUAAAUAAACAUGAUAAAACAAAGAGCUAGGGAAAGGGAUUUGGCCCAAAUCUGAUUUUCUGUCCGCCUGGGGCCAGCAUUUAGGCCUAUUUUCAUUUGGGCCUUCGGCCCAUUUGAGUCACCUGCACCUGUCCUAUACUAACGAAAAAAAAUAUUUUUUUUCUUUGGGCCUUAGACCCAAUUUUUCACCUGUCCUAAAUUCUAACAAAAUAAUAAACAUAAUGACUAAAUAGGAUUAGGCCCAAUAAUAACAAAAUACAAUUUUUUUGCAUAAAGAGUGGGCCUUUGGCCCAAUCUUUUCAGUUCUCCUCUGCUUUCACAUUUUUUCAACUUCGGGACCUGUACGUCGAUUUUCAAUGGCCGGUUGACUCGAUAAAGGAGUUCAUAAUGAACUCGGAUAGAUUUCACAUGCGACAAAAUGAUGAUAAAAAUUUGUUCCGUAGAAUAAUAAAGCAACAACAUGUCUAAAACAGAUCACACCAGUCCCCUAAGCCAAUAUAAAGCAAAUAAUUCAAUUGAACCCAAACAACAUAGAUCUAGAUAACGGGACAUAUAUUCCAACGACACUAAAUGCUCGAAUCAUAUUAAUGAUAGAAUACUGACUAUUCAAGCUACUACCUUGGCACUAAAAAUAAUCCACAACAACACAUAUUAACCAACUUAUUUAGUGCACAGAUAUGCUAAUAGAAGAGGCUAACACCUAAAACCAGUUAUUUAGGUUCGAUCACUUUACGAGGGGCAUCAUAGCUUAAAGAAAAAAAGGGUAAUUAGGAGAGUACAUCAACUAUUUCACACAUCAAAUUAACAUAAUGACCGUCAACAAAUAUAUGAACAAUAAAUAUAUAUUAUUAUUAUUAUUAUUACAUAUAUGUAUAAAUCCCGCAUACUUCCAGAUAACAAAAUUUGGCAAUCUUUUAGAAUCCAUAUAAACUAAAAUCUAACCCACUAUGAUUAAACAAUUUGCCAACUAUGUUUUAACUUUUUUUUAGUUUUUAUUUUUUGUUAAGCUGCUAAACUAAACAAUUAUAAACAAACAUACAAAUCAUGCCCCAGACAAAUAUUGACUCAUUGAUAAAGAAGACAAGCUGGAACUACUGUGAAUUCAAAGAAUGAUGUAGGCUAUCAUACUUAAAUGCGACACUAAGGAAAUCUAUCAAUGAGUCAUGCUUAUAAAAAAUGGUUUCAUUUUAUAAACCCAAAACCAAAUUAGCGGUGAGAAGAAGAUGAAACAUGUCGCCUCUUUCAAGACAUACCAAAUCACAAUAGAUUACUUCGGACAGAAGCAAAACGAACCUUACAAAAUUAAGAACGACAGACCAUUUAAUUAUUUAAAUGCUUUAAAGAUAUUCCAAGAACAACACUAGUUAUAAUCGAAUGAACCUUCCUAAGAUGCAGGGACUAAGAAUAGCGACGUAUUUUUAUUUAAACAAGUCCUUAAAAAUGGAACAAGACAAGAGCAAUAUUUUGAUUAAAGAAGGAAAGAGAUUAGACACAUUUGUCAAGUAAACCAAGUAUCAAUGACCAAGAUUCACAAUAACAGAGAGAAAACAGCAGCAGACUAUCAAAAACCAUAACCUCUCUUAUUUAUCACAUUUCUAUACGGAUAACUAAUAUUAAGAGAAAACAGUUACAAAGAACAAAUGAGCUAUCAGCCUUAAAGAGUAACUAAGUUGAUCGAAACUAAGCAACACAGUGAGUAAACGAUUAAGAGAAUCAAUCCCAAAAGAAACAAGAGCCUGAUCGAAGAAACAAACUAAUGGAAUAUAGAUGAAAGUAGAGAUUACCUCUUGUUGUGCAGCGAAACAGGGGAGACGAGCAAAAAGGUAGCUUCCCACGACUACAACGAGAUUCCGACUCGAGCAACGAUCAAGAAAUCCGAGCAAAAUAUUGAACUCGAACACCAAAAUCGAUUACUUCUUCUGACUUUUUGUAGUAUAUUUUUUGUAUGUAAUUUAGCUAUUUCAUUUAAGCUGCUCUCUUUGCCUUAAAAAAAUUUUUCUCCAACCCCCCCUCCAAUGGAAGAGAGGAGAUGUAUUUAUAGGGGGAAAUUAGGAUGAAAAACGGAUAGGAACAAGGGUCAAAACGAAAUUCUCCCUUGAUUUCAAAAUUCAAAAAUCCUUUUCCAGGAAGCAGCUGGGUUUGGUAUGGGAUUUCGUCCAAGAUCCCAGAAAAUUCGGACGAGAAGCAGGGUGGGCGGUUGUUGCAGAGAAAGCUGUGGGAGCUGUUGUUUGUUGACAUUUCGAACUGUUGUUGCUUUGACGUUUUUGGGUUUGCGUCUGGGGAAGAGGAAGACGUUUGUGGGGUCGUUCGGCUACUGUUGCUGUUGUCGGUUCUGCUACUGCUAUCGUUGAAAUUGAAAAGGAAAAAGGGGAUGGGGCCGGGUCAGGGGAAUUGGGUCGGUUUGGUGUUGUUUCUGUUGUAUUGUUAUUGAAUUAUUUGGGCCGGGGCAAAUGAGGUGUUAAAGAGAUGGGUCUGGGAAUUGUUGGGCUAGCAGCUUUGGUAUUGUUAGGAAUUGUUUGGCUGAAAUGGACCUGAAAUGAGAAAGGUAUGGGCUGCUGGAAAUUAGAGAAAUGGGGCCCAAAACUAAAGUCUUUGGUGGGUCUAAAGUAAGAUAUAACUAAGUGAAUUAACAACUUAGCCAAAUUGAAUUUAAUUUGCAAAUUCGGCUAAAAUUUAAAUAGGACGAAUGAGUAUAAUUAAUUAAUGAGCUUCUUAAUUUUAACGAAAUAAAAUAAUUAACUCAAUAGACUAAUGACUCAAAAUAUAAACUACUAAUUUAGACAAAAUUAAUUAAAAUACUCACUAAAAUUUUAAAAAAAAUUGUGAUGAUUUUCGAAAUGUUUAUAAAAUAUACUAAUUAUAUACGAAAUAAUAUAAGACAUAUAUGUUAAUUUAAAAUUACAAAAAAGUGACAAAACUAUUUAAAAUAACUUGCAAACUAUAACUAUUAUCAUAUAUAUAUAUAUAUAUUGAAACUUUAUAAAACUAAUUAUUUUAAAGCGUUUGAAAUUGAAGAAGCUCGAAAUGAUUAAUUUAUAUUGUGGAGGUACAAAAUUGGGUGUCAACAACCACUAUAAUUAAAACACAAAAUAUAAGAAUUUACAAGAUAUAAUUAAGAACAAAUAUAUUCAAAUUCAGACAUAAUAUGACACAAUUUUUAGAGUAACACUCUAAAACUUAAGUAAGAUUAUCUUUAACAAAAAAAAAAAGAAACAAAACAUCAAAGGGUGUCUAUUCAAUGAUACAUAAUCACUAUUCAACAUUAACCAAUUCAUCUUGUUGCGGUGGAGUAAAGCGACCCUUGAGCUUUGGAGGAUCAUCUUUAUCUUUAAAAUAGCGUGACUUAGCCUUUUCAGUACCGUAUCUCCAUAAUAAUGUUUCAUAUCUUGUGCGAAGAUAAUCAACUCGGAAAUCAUUUGAUGGGAUGUUGAUUUUGUUACUAAGGAACUCAACAAAAGCAGUUAUAAAAAGUAAAUCAUCAUGAGAAACAUGUCAAGUUAAUCAUAUGAUACAUAAUUGUAACUACAAAGUAUCUUAAUGUUUAGUUGAUACAUAAUGAUAAAAAAGAGUAACUAAUGCUCAAUACAAAUUGAUGAUCUAUAAAAUCUUACAGAUAUUUAUAUUUAAUACUAAAUGCCCACUAGUUCAACAUGAUACAAAAAUUGUCCAACACUUAAACAUGAUACAAAUAAUGGAUUACAGUUAAACUAAUAACUUGCAAUGUAUCAUAUGUGUGUAUUUGAUACAUUUUAGUAAAUUUUGUGUAUCUGAUACACACUCUAAUAGUGCAGGUUUUUAAUGAUACAAUAAUGAACAUUAUUUUUGUAUCAAUAACUACACAAUUACAACUCCACACAUGAUACAAAAAUGCCCGCUACUAUUGAACAUUAUUUUUAUAUCAAUAAUUUCAGAAAAUUACAACAACUCCUCUAAUAAUGAAUAAAAUUAGUAUAAUUUACAUAAAUCUCAUAGUGUAAGACCCUAAUUACAUCUUAUCAAUUAAUUUGAUACACGAUACUUUAUCUAUAGAAUAAUAGGAUUUAUGUAUCAAGUGUAUUUAUUGAGUAAUGUGUACAUGCACAUAAUCUUCUAAUUUAAAUAAGUCUGAACAAAAAUUAAACACUACAGAUACAUAACAACAAUUGAUACAUGGUAGAUUAUACAAUUUGAACACGAUAUAUUGAGCAUGCUGAAAUUGUAAUGUAUUAUAAUGUUGAAAAGAAAGCAUUAUACAUUAAUCUAAGAAAAUAAAAAUAACUGGAUACAUUAAAAAUAUGAAUUCAUAUUUAUCAAAAAAAGAUGAAAAAGAAAAAAUCAAAAUAAAAUCCAACAAUCUGAUCUUCUUCUCCUUCUUCUUCUCAACAUAUCGAUAAUGUAUCAGAUUGUUGCUGCAUUUGUGGUAGUCCAUUGGAUGCACAAUAAAAACCUUGCCAAUACAUUGUCAUAGCAAGUCUAUCCGCACCGAUAUAUUGGAGGAGAACAUUUUGGAGGAGGAGGAGAUGGACCCCAAGAUCUCAUAUUAGUAUUAGAAGAAUUUAGUUGAGUGACCCCAAUACUAAAUGAAGGGGCCUGGCCCAUAUGUAUUAGGAAAAAAAUGAAAGAAGACAACAAUGGAGAAGACAAAACCCUACCUAUUCACAUGUUUGAAAUUGAUUGACUUGAGAGAGAGAAUCCUUUUGAAAAUCAAAUUAAUUUGAAUAUUGCAAUUGCUAAGAAUGUGGAGUGAAUUUAAGGAGAGAAAAGAGGAGUGAAAACGAGAGUAGUAAAGGUGGGUUUUGGCUGAUGGAUCUUAUGUAUCUGAAAGUNNNNNNNNNNNNNNNNNNNNNNNNNNNNNNNNNNNNNNNNNNNNNNNNNNNNNNNNNNNNNNNNNNNNNNNNNNNNNNNNNNNNNNNNNNNNNNNNNNNNNNNNNNNNNNNNNNNNNNNNNNNNNNNNNNNNNNNNNNNNNNNNNNNNNNNNNNNNNNNNNNNNNNNNNNNNNNNNNNNNNNNNNNNNNNNNNNNNNNNNNNNNNNNNNNNNNNNNNNNNNNNNNNNNNNNNACUUGUAACUUCUAAUAUUUUAUUGUUUUUUGUAUUAAAUCAAAACAAAAGACUACAUCACUAUUUCAAGUUAAAUUCUUUUAAAAUAUUUAAAAUACAAAUUUGAACUUUCAAGUUUGAAAUUUGAAAGUUUAAAUUUGAAAUUUGAAAACUUUAAGCAUUUUUUAUUAGCUAAAAAUGUUAUUGAAAACCAAAUAAAUUAAAAAAUGUUAUUCAAUAACAUAUAAUUUCAAUACAAAUAAAUAAACAUAUAAAAAAUAAAAAAUUUCAUGUCCCGUCCCGCCAAACACCGUCCCAUCCUGUAUAUAUAGUGGGACGGGAUGGGACGUAUUUUUGUCCCGCCAAUCCCGGUCCCCACAAUCUCGAUCCCGGCCGAAUCCCGGCCAAGGGCGUCCCCCUCCCGUCCCGUCUCCCUUUGUCCCGUCCCACAAUCCCCGUCCCUGUCCCCUUGCCAGCCCUAGCCCUCAUGAAAAGCACAAAAGGCAAUUAGUAUUGUCGGUACAAGUGAGCGCGACCACUCAUGUGACUGCGGUUUGAUUUCAGGUAAACCACAUUUUAUUAUUUUUAUCAACUCAUAAUAUUGGUGCACCCGUAGUAUUCAGAAAAGUAAUCUUUUGUCUUAAUUGAUGUGAUACGUUCUUUUAUUUUAUAGUUUGUAUAGAAAAAUUAAAUAACUUUUUUAUACUAAUUAGAAACAAUUUAACUUUAAAAUUUUACUUUUAUCCUUAAUGAAAUAAUUUAUAAUCACAUCAAUGAUGAAAGAAUAUUUUAGACCACAAGUUUUAAAUAUUAGUUUUCGAAUAUGUAAAUAAUUUGAACAAAUUAUAUUAAAUAUUAUGCUUCUUUUAUUAUAGGUCUUUUUAUGUUAUCUUAUUUAUUAUGGUUGAAGAUUCACAAAUCACAAUGGUUAGCAAUGGUGAAUUGUUCGCUAGCUUGUACUCUAGUGAAAUCAAAAUUGUGUUUGAUUCAGAAACAAAAAUAUAAAGGUAACAAUAAAAUCAAACGUAAUAUAAAAUAAUAUUAAUUAUUUUUGCAUUGCUUUUACUCGUACUUUUGGACGUUAAAUUAAAACAAUCGAAAAUGACAUCUCAUCAUGAAAAAAUAAAGAUAAAGAGAAUUAUUAAUCCUAAUCAUCACUUAAGUUGGAUGAAAGCAGCAAAACGCUUGAUCAAAUCUUGAGAUUUCUCAGUUUCAGGAUUAGCUAGUUGAAAGCACUGACCUUCAUCUUCAACUUCAAUCAACUCUAAAUCCCCUUUCCAACCACUUUUCUUUACACCUUCAACUAAUCGAACCCCAAUUUCUUUUGGAAUAUAUUCAUCUUUCUCCGCGAAACACAACAACAUCCUAGAACAACCCAACUGAGACAAACUAGGAGCAUUCUCAGCAAGUGGAUUAAUCAUUGGACUAUGAAGCCCAGCUUCUGAUGGUGAGCUAAUAAUAAUCCAAUUCUUGUACGAUACAUUUUGUUCAAUGUUCUCAAGUGGAACCAAAAGGUAAGGACAAACAAGAAUCGAACCAUUAAUAGCUACCUUUUCAUUAAUACCACCUUCUCUUCCUGCUCUCAUCGCCAUAUGAUAAACUAUAUUCCCACCAGCACUAUCUCCAAUUAUAGUCAAUCUACUAAAAUCUCCGUAGUUUUUUAUCCACGGGUCUUCGUUAUCACUAGUGAAUUUUUUUUCAUUAGCAUGUGACGCGACCCAUUGAAGUGCAGUCCAACAAUCUUCGUAUAUUGUGGUCACGUCAUGUUCAGGGGCUAACCGAUACUCUACUGAAAUCGCGAUUGCGUUAGAUUUAGAAACCAAGACAUUGAGAUAACGUUGAUACACAUUAAAAAAAGCGGAUCCAAGAACUAAUGCACCACCAUGGUAAUACACGAAAAUGGGAAGUUUUUGGGUAGAAUUGUUUGUGUUUUUUGGAAGGUAAAGUCUAGCAGAAACAUGUGAAGAAAUUGUAACAUCUUUAGAGGAGACACCACCGGCUGGAUCUUCAAGUGAUGGGGGAACGUAUGCUAUGCCAAUUGUGUCAUAUAAACGUUCGACUCGACCAUCCUUAUAGAUUCUAUACCAACAAUCCAUUUGAGUGACAACCUCAUUGUUAUUGUCAUUUGAAUUAGCCAUGAAAAAAAUUUAUUGUAGAGAGAAUUAGAAGAUGAGGUAUUGUAAGAAAGUUGAUUUUGUGUAUAGAAAUUUGGAAGGAAGUUUGAUGUAUAUAAUGGGAUGUGUUGUGUUGUUUUUCAGAAGUAUAUAAUGGGAUGUGUUGUUUUUUGAUGUAUAUAGAUUUCCCAAAUAUUAUUUGGGGGAAAAUUUGGCAAAUAGUGUUUGUCCAUAUAAUUUGCCAUUAUUUGGAAAAUAUUUUUGGCAAAUAUCCCAAAUUCCCAAAUACUAGUUUUUUCUAGUAUUUGGGCCAAAUCUCAUUAUUUGGGAUCUUUUGAAAAUUGAAAUUUUUACCCCAAACUUUUUAUCUUUUUACAAAAACACUCUCUAUAGUAGUUGUUUGUGUCGUAUUUACAUAAUUUUUUCACGUGAACACCAAAGUAGUGAUGAAAUAUUCAGUGAAUAUUAAAUGAUGAUAUGGUUGUUGAUGAAAAUGAUGAACAAUCGGCUCAGGGUAACAAAGUCAUGUGCUUUGUCUACUUCACGAUGUAUGGAAUGAUGCUUGUUGCACUCACUCCAAACUACCACAUUGCUCUAGUGUCAUGUACACUAUUUGUUAUUGUUGCAACGACGGUUCAAUUGGCUUAUAAUACAAACUUAUGGUUAGUUUUGAUAGUUUUUAAAACUUGUGGGUAUAAAUCAUAUUUUUCUAAAAAAGUGAAAUAUAUUUCCCAAAUACUAUGGCCAAACACAUGGUGAAAUUUCACCCAAAUUUUCACCCAAAUAAUAUUUGCCAAGAAUAUUUAGAAAUCUAUGGCCAAACGCUAGCUUAGUGAAGGCAUGGGUUUAACAUUCAAAUAAUGACAUCUCAUCAUGAUGAUUUGGCAAACUUCUAGAAUCAAAUUAAAGUGAGAAUGAUAUGGUCAUUUUUCUUGUUUGGUACUACCAGUGUAAUAUUAGUUGAUCACUUUCUAAUUAGCACGACGUUUAAGAAAUCAUAAAUAAGAAGAUAUUUUUUUCUAUUUCAUUACUCCUUAAGAAGUUUCUUGAGAAUUAUACAAACAAAUGUGAACACUUUUUUAAAAAAAAAAUUAUUGCAAGAUAAGAAAAAAUAUAAUUAAUGCUUUCUUAAUUUAGUAAGAUGAUCAAUUAAUACGGGACAAUUAUUUUUUAUAAGAUAAUCAGCUAAUACAGAAUGAAGUAAGUAAAAUGAAAAAAAAGUUAUAUAUUUGGGGACUUUGAUACUAACAUGUUACAUUUGGUCUAAGAUGAUCCUAAACAAUUUCAAUUAUUUUCUAGAUGUUGGACUGAGCACUAGGAGGAAAUUAAAGGGAAGAACCUUCAUAAAGAAAAGUUAAAUCCUCAAGUCAGUGGUGAAGUUAAAUAUGCAACAAUCUAUGAGAAGAUUAUACUCCUAUUUAAAUAAAGUAAAAAUAACUUUUAACGCAUAUAUAAAAUGUUAAUUCUUCUUAAUUAGCAUAAAAUAAAUUAGUAUUUAAAUUUCAGAUUUGAAUAGUCAUUUGAAUCAUCAACAACCUUCUAGAAAUCAUACAUCAAAAUUCAAAAGAAAAGAAAAGGUUGCUAAUCUUUAUAUGUAGAGUUUAAGUUUUACUAGCUAGCGUAUAAUGUUUUAUUAAUACACCAUCAAAUAACAUUAACCUUCUAUAACAAUUAACAGGUAACUAAUCUUUUACUAGUUUUUUUUUUUUUUUCAAAAUUCAAACACUAUUUUUUUUACUGCUCAUCUGGCCACCUAGCCAUGACGUGGAUGAGGUAUUUAUAUACAGUAAAAUUAGUAGUCAAAUGAGGGAACUAGAUAAAUAAAGACCAAAAUCCACUAUCUAUAUUCUAUAAUAUCUUUUACUUCUUGGCUUACAAAGUUGGUGACAAAUGCCUCCCAUGUGUGAUGAUCAAAAUUCAAAGCCAUCAUGUAGUGGAACCAUAAAUCAAUCUUUUUUUUUCCCAUGGAGAAUUAGUCCAUAAAAAUAACCCUCUUUUUUAAUUACAUGGCGCAUUUUUUUUUUAAGUCCGUCUCCGAGGAAUAUGUACCUUUUGAUAAUAAAAAAUAACUUAAUUUUAAAAUUUCUCUUCUACACUUAAUAAAAUAAUUUAUAAAUAGAAAAAUAAUCAAAAAGAGUGUUUUUUUCUAACUAAUGUGAUAAUAUACCAUUACCAACAAAAACAAGCAACCAAUACACCUAAGGGAGAACCUAAUCUCAUAACCACCAAGUAUGGUAAACAAUUGCUCCCCAAGUAGCUGCAACAAUCUCCUUUUUGAAAUACUUCUUUUUAAUUCUCUCUAGCAUAAUUAUAUUUUAUUAUUUGAUAAAUUAGAUCUCAACUGUUUAAUCCAAGCACAAUCUGCAAAAAAAUGCAGGGGUGUUUCUGUAGUCUUCAUGUCACAUAAGCAUAAUUGUAUAAAGAAACUUUACAAAGUUUUAGAAGCUUUUUUUUUCUUCUGAGUUUUGGAAUGGCGUUAUGAUAGCUUAUAUGAUUAUUAUCAUAGGAUAAUUAAACAGGGUGAAAGAAACAAUUUGAAACACUCUAUAUUUGAAUCCAACUUAUUUCAGUUGUGGCCAUAUGGAGUACUAUAGAUUUAGGAGAAUAUUUAAAGAACAUUCUAAAUUUUGAUCAUUUUGAAACUAUCAAUAAUUUCAGAGUGAAGUAUUGAAGACAAUUCUAAAUUCAGGGCAAAUGAUUAGUUUCAUUCUUGAAUUAUUGAUAGUCUUAAAAUUAUCUUUUUACUUGACUAAUUGAACUUAAAUACACUGCCCAUCUUACAAUAUUAGUGAAACACAUUUCUAAACUCUCGUCAAAUUUAGAGGUGUUUUCAACACUUCUCAUGGCUUUUUAUUAAGAGCACAUGCUCUGAUCUACAAGAGUUCAUUUGGCAAGGGUCUAUUUAAAUUUGUCAGUAAAAGACUGUUUUUAAAGUGAUGGGGGUACGUACGUUAAUAAGUUAUUUGUGUCAUAUAAACGUUCGACUCGACCAUCCUUAUAGAUUCUAUACCAACAAUCCAUUUGAGUGACAACCUCAUUGUUAUUGUCAUUUGAAUUAGCCAUGAAAAAAAAUUUAUUGUAGAGAGAAUAAUUAGAAGAUGUGGUAUUGUAAGAAAGUUGAUUUGUGUAUAGAAAUUUGGAAGGAAGUUUGAUUUAUAUAAUGGGAUUUGGUUGUCUUGUUUCUCAGCAGUUGAUGGCCAAAGUAAAGAAUAAUUGAGCAAAUCUAGAUUUAGUGGAGGCAUGGGUUUUACAUUCAAAUAAUGACAUCUCAUCAUGAUGAUUUGGCAAACUUCUAGAAUCAAAUUAAAGUGAGAAUGCUAUGGUCAUUUUUCUUGUUUGGUACUACCCGUCUCGAUCACUUUCUAUUUUGCACAGUGUUUUAAGAAAUCAUAAAUAAGAAGAUAAUUUUUCUUAUUUUAGUACUCCUUUAGAAGCUUCUUGGGAAUUCUAAGACAAAUUAUAAUUAAUGUUUUCUUGAUUUAGUAAGUUGAUCAAUUAAUAUGGGACUAUUUUUUAUAAGAUGAUCAGCUAAUAUGGGACAAUGUAAGUAAAAGGAAAAAAAAAGUUAUAUAUUUGGAGACUUUGAUACUAACAUGUCCUAAACAAUUUCAAUUAUUUUCUAGAUGUUAGACUGAGCACUAGGAGGAAAUUAAAGGGAAGAACCUUCAUAAAGAAAAGUUAAAUCCUCAAGUCAGUGGUGAAGUUAAAUAUGCAACAAUCUAUGAGAAGAUUAUACUCCUAUUUAAAUAAAGUAAAAAUAACUUUUAACGCAUAUAUAAAAUGUUAAAUCUUCUUAAUUAGCAUAAAAUAAAUUAGUAUUUAAAUUUCUGAUUUGAAUAGCCAUUUGAAUCCUCAACAACCUCCUAGAAAUCAUACAUCAAAAUUCAAAAGACAAGUUGAAGAAAAGAAAAGGUUGCUAACCUUUACAAUGUAGAGUUUAAGUUUCAUACAUCGUUAGCAUAUAAUUUUUUAUUACACCAGAUAACAUUAACCCUUCUAUAGCAGGUGACUAAUCUUUUAUUAGUUUUUUCCUUUUUCCCAAAAUUCAAACACUAUUUUUAUUUUUACUGCUCAUCUGGCCGCCUAGCCAUGACGUGGAUGAGAUAAUAUAUAGUAGUAAAAUUAGUAGUCAAAUGAGGGAACUAGAUUAAUAAAGACCAAAAUCCACUAUCCAUAUUCUAUAAUAUCUUUUACUUCUAGGCUUACAAAGUUGGUGACAAAAGGCAUGCAUUUGCCUCCCAUCAUGUGAUAAUCAAUAAUUGAUGUUUUAUAUUACAUAAUAUAUGAAAUCAACAUAAUAUAAAAUAAUAUUAUUCUUGCAUUGCAUUUAUUACUCCACUUUCUGAUGAUAAGGCAAUCGAAAAUGAUACUUCAUCAUAACAAAAAUCAAGAUAAGAGAAUUAUUGAAGCAACAAGGAUGUAUAGGUGUAUGCCACUAAUUGCAAUAAUUAUAUACAGAUUUUUGUUUGUCCUUACUUUUUGGUUCCAAUUGAAAACAUUGAACAAAGUGGAGCGUACAAGAAUUGGAUUAUUAUUAGCUCACCAUCAGAAGCUGAGCUACAUAUAGUCCACUAAUAUUUAAUGUAAUAUUUAAAAUUACUCAAGUCGGAUAAAAGAAGCAAAACGCUUGAUCAAAUCUUGAGAUUUCUCUGUAUUAGGAUUAUUCAGUUGAAAGCAAUGAACUUCAUCUUCAACUACAAUAAACUCCAAAUCCCCUUUCCAACCACUUUUCUUUACGCCUUCAACGAAACGAAUCCCAAUUUCUUUUGAAAUAUACACAUCUUUAUCCGUAAAACACAACAACAUCCUAGAACAACCCAACUGCGACAAACUAGGAGCAUUCUCAGCAAGUGGAUUAAUCAAUGGACUAUGUAGCCCAGCUUCUGAUGGUGAACUAAUAAUAAUCCAAUUUUUGUACGCUCCACUUUCUUUAAUAUUCUCAAUUGGAACCAAAAAGUAAGGACAAACAAGAAUCGAACCAUUAAUAGCUACCUUUUCAUUAAUACCAUCUUCUCUCCCUGCUCUCAUCGCCAUAUGAUAAACUAUAUUCCCACCAGCACUAUCUCCAAUUAUAGACAAUCUACUAAAAUCUCCGAAGUUUUUAAUCCACUGGUCUUCGUUAUCACUAGUGAAUUUUUUUUCACUAGCAUGUGACGCGACCCAUUGAAGUGCAGUCCAAGAAUCUUCGUAAAUUGUGGUCACGUCAUGUUCAGGGGCUAACCGAUACUCUACUGAAAUCGCGAUUGCGUUGGAUUCAGAAACCAAGACAUUGAGAUAAUUAUGGUACGUGUUAAAAAAAGCAGAUCCAAGAACUAGUGCACCACCAUGGUAAUACACUAUAAUGGGAAGUUUUUGGGUGGAAUUGUUUGUGUUUUUUGGAAGGUAAAGUCUAGCAGAAACAUGUGGUGAAAUUGUAACAUCUUUAGAGGAGACACCAGUGGCUGGAUCUUCAAGUGAUGGGGGUACGUAUGCUACACCAAGUGUGUCAUAGAAACG